GUGGGUAUAGCUCAGUGGUAGAGUGCAUGCUUAGCAUGCAUGAGGUCCUAGGUUCAAUCCCUAGUACCUCCA
This 72-nucleotide transfer RNA is filed under the name Camelus bactrianus (Bactrian camel). It matches the Rfam family "tRNA". From Rfam's summary of the family: Transfer RNA (tRNA) molecules are approximately 80 nucleotides in length. Their secondary structure includes four short double-helical elements and three loops (D, anti-codon, and T loops). Further hydrogen bonds mediate the characteristic L-shaped molecular structure. tRNAs have two regions of fundamental functional importance: the anti-codon, which is responsible for specific mRNA codon recognition, and the 3' end, to which the tRNAs corresponding amino acid is attached (by aminoacyl-tRNA synthetases). tRNAs cope with the degeneracy of the genetic code in two manners: having more than one tRNA (with a specific anti-codon) for a particular amino acid; and 'wobble' base-pairing, i.e. permitting non-standard base-pairing at the 3rd anti-codon position. Lineage: Eukaryota; Metazoa; Chordata; Mammalia; Artiodactyla; Camelidae. RNAcentral also lists the same sequence under 1 other name. The record is from Rfam by way of RNAcentral.